Molecule: ribosomal RNA, 347 nt
Filed under: uncultured bacterium
Lineage: Bacteria
Description: bacterial SSU rRNA
Rfam family: Bacterial small subunit ribosomal RNA
Source: RNAcentral
AGUGUAGAUUCAGAGUUUGAUCCUGGCUCAGGACGAACGCUGGCGGCGUGCCUAAUACAUGCAAGUAGAACGCUGAAGAGAGGAGCUUGCUCUUCUUGGAUGAGUUGCGAACGGGUGAGUAACGCGUAGGUAACCUGCCUUGUAGCGGGGGAUAACUAUUGGAAACGAUAGCUAAUACCGCAUAACAAUGGAUGACACAUGUCAUUUAUUUGAAAGGGGCAAUUGCUCCACUACAAGAUGGACCUGCGUUGUAUUAGCUAGUAGGUGAGGUAAUGGCUCACCUAGGCGACGAUACAUAGCCGACCUGAGAGGGUGAUCGGCCACACUGGGACUGAGACACGGCCCAG